GCUGGUUAGCUCAGUUGGUAGAGCGCUCCACCUGUAAUGGAGAGGUCCCGGGUUCGAUACCCGGACCAGGCG
Ixodes scapularis (black-legged tick) is the source of this 72-nucleotide non-coding RNA. The record is from Rfam. Lineage: Eukaryota; Metazoa; Arthropoda; Arachnida; Ixodida; Ixodidae.